GGGCGCGGCGGUCGCUGCA
RNAcentral lists this small nuclear RNA (19 nucleotides) under Arabidopsis thaliana (thale cress). Its description in RNAcentral is "snRNA_13228". Lineage: Eukaryota; Viridiplantae; Streptophyta; Magnoliopsida; Brassicales; Brassicaceae. The record is from RNAcentral.